This 254-nucleotide ribosomal RNA is filed under the name uncultured bacterium. RNAcentral describes it as "partial 16S ribosomal RNA". It matches the Rfam family "Bacterial small subunit ribosomal RNA", at positions 524 to 776 of the family's 1533-position model. The record is from RNAcentral.
UACAGAGGGUGCAAGCGUUAUCCGGAUUUAUUGGGCGUAAAGCGUUUCGUAGGCGACUAGAUAAGUUACACUUCAAAUACCGAGGCUCAACCUCGGGCCGGGGUGUAAUACUAUUUGGAUUGAAAGGUCUCGGGGUUACUGGAACUCUCGGUGUAGGGGUGAAAUCCGUUGAUAUCGAGAGGAACACCAAGGGCGAAGGCAAGUAACUAGGGAAUCUUUGACGCUGAGGAACGAAAGCCAGGGGAGCGAAAGGG